This 440-nucleotide ribosomal RNA is filed under the name uncultured bacterium. RNAcentral describes it as "bacterial SSU rRNA". It matches the Rfam family "Bacterial small subunit ribosomal RNA", at positions 338 to 795 of the family's 1533-position model. The record is from RNAcentral.
CCUACGGGGGGCAGCAGUGGGGAAUAUUGCACAAUGGGGGAAACCCUGAUGCAGCAACGCCGCGUGAGCGAAGAAGGCCUUCGGGUCGUAAAGCUCUGUCCUAAGGGAAGAAGCAUGACGGUACCUUAGGAGGAAGCCCCGGCUAACUACGUGCCAGCAGCCGCGGUAAUACGUAGGGGGCGAGCGUUAUCCGGAAUCACUGGGCGUAAGGGGUGUGUAGGCGGCCAAUUAAGCCAGGGGUGAAAGGCUACGGCUAAACCGUAGUAAGCCGUUGGAACUGAAUGGCUUGAGUGCAGGAGAGGAGAGUGGAAUUCCUAGUGUAGCGUUGAAAUACGUAGAUAUUAGGAGGAACACCAGAGGUGAAGGGGACUCGCUGGACUGUAACUGACGCUGAGGCACGAACGCGUGGGGAGCAAACAGGAUUAGAUACCCUGGUAGUC